UACAGAGGGGGCAAGCGUUGUUCGGAAUUACUGGGCGUAAAGGGCGCGUAGGCGGCCUGCUAAGUCGAACGUGAAAGCCCGGGGCUCAACCCCGGAACUGCCUUUAAGACUGCAUCGCUUGAAUCCGGGAGAGGUGAGUGGAAUUCCGAGUGUAGAGGUGAAAUUCGUAGAUAUUCGGAAGAACACCAGUGGCGAAGGCGGGUUGCUGGGCUGACACUGACGCUGAGGCGCGAAAGCCAGGGGAGCGAACGGG
Molecule: ribosomal RNA, 253 nt
Filed under: uncultured bacterium
Lineage: Bacteria
Description: partial 16S ribosomal RNA
Rfam family: Bacterial small subunit ribosomal RNA
Source: RNAcentral